ACAGUUGGAAAACAAACCUGGGCAAGAUGGCGCUCCCCAUGGUGGGGGCUGUGGCCUCCGCUCUUCCUGGACUCCCCUCUGGUGGGGCCCAGUCUGGCAGCCCUGCUGUCCCCUCCUCCUUCCUGCCUUCUGUGCUGGCCCUACACCACACUCCCUCUCACCUGAGGGAAACCAGCCGCUUCUUCUCCUGGCCAAGAUCUCCCCUGGGGGCUGUAGCCCUGCAGCCCAUCACUGCCCCAGUGAAGAACCUCGGGCCUGGGGAGGCUGAGGGCUCCGGCCUCCGCUGUGGACCUGGACUUUGGAUGAAGCUCCCCAGGCAGGGGCUGCGCCACCCGCUGGAGAGAACUGUUCUCUCCCCCUUUGUCUGAGCCCUUGACGACUCUGGGAUAUGGCCCUGGUGGGGGACAUUCUCCUCACUGUGAGAAGCAGCUUUGCUCUCCACUCUCUUUCCGAGGCACCUGACUCUCCUGCUUUCUUCCUCUGGGCUGUGGAACCUUCUGCAGAUCCUCUCUCCUCAGGAUGAGGAAAGCAGACGCCACUCUCCCUCCAGGCCCCCAGACAUCCUCUCCUCCCCCGGCUCAGGGCAACCGGCUCUCUCCUUGUUUAAUUCUCCAGUGACUGCUGCCCUUUACCCUAAUGUGCAGAGGGGGUGACAGGAGCAGGGUGACCUCAACCCCCUAGUCCCACUCUCCAGGCUCAGGGCCUGUGUCUGGGGAGGGGAAGCUGUUGCUCAGCCACAAGGCUGGGUCCCUCUGGGGAGGACCUGGCCCACCCAGCAGAGGGGUCACCAGGGCAGGUUGGUUGGGUCCAAUGGCUGGGGGCUCAGAGGCAUCUGUCUGUCCGGGGCCUGGCUUGGAAAGUCACAGAGCGCCCUGCAGGACCCCUCACCCGCCUUUUCAAAGUGCUUUCCCUCCACCCCUGUCAGGCAUCCGUGGGAUCACAUUUUCGGGAAAAUGGGUGGUGUGGUGCCCUCGCUCAUCAAAGCAGCAGCUGGCACCUGUAAAGAGUCCCCUUAGAAAGUGCUUUUCUGUCAGAGCAAGUGGUCUCAGCUGUGGCUGCAAGUGAGAAUCACCUGAGAGCUUUUAAAAAUACCG
This 1094-nucleotide long non-coding RNA is filed under the name Equus caballus (horse). RNAcentral describes it as "lncRNA (ENSECAG00000048596.1)". The record is from RNAcentral. Lineage: Eukaryota; Metazoa; Chordata; Mammalia; Perissodactyla; Equidae.